UUUUAAAUUUUUUUGUUUAUAUGGUUAUAUAAUGUUAGUUUUAAUUAGAAAGAUAAAAAUUGUUUAUAUAUUUGUCGUUUAAGUUGAAAAUUUGUUUAAGUUGAAAAUAUGUUUAAGUUGAAAAUAUUUAUAUAAUUAUGUAUGAUAUUGCUUUCUAUCGUAAAUAUAUUUGUUGUAUAACUUGGAAAAUUGUUUAUAUAUGUGUAUGUUAUUGUUUUUUAUCGGGGAAAUAUAUAUAUUAGUAAUUAAGAAAGUAUUUGCAGUUCGUAAUCAUAUAUUUAAAAAAAAAUAUAUUUUUUAGUUAUCUAAUUUGUUUUUGUGUUUUUUUUUGCAGCAUGAUUUUAGUUUAAUGAAUACGAAAGCCUUUGCGAACCUAAAAGGCUCUGGCGGUAACAUAUGGGAAGUCUUUGAAGUUUUAGAUGAUGCCCGACGUGCUAUUUUCAGAAAUACUGUCUUUGGCUAUUUUAUUGAUGUCCCUCGUUUACAAGGGGACGCUUUAUUGUUUCAUAAAAUGUUCCUUCAUCAGAUCCGGCCGGACCCUGUUUUAUCUCCAGAUGGAAUAAAACGUUUAUAUUUUCGAGUAGGCAAUACCAAAAUGGUUUAUGGGCCGGAAGAGUUUUGUUUGAUUACCGGGUUCAAUUUUGGGGAGUAUCCAAAAAACAUUGGGAGAAAAGGGUCGGAAAAAUUAAUAAGCAGUAAAAAAAGAUGUUUACUGCGUGAACGGCUAUUUCCGGACCAUACUAAUAGUUCGGUGAAAAUCGGCGACCUGAAAAGUUUAAUUUUAAAUCAAACAUUCCUAGCACUUGAUGACCUUGAUGCAGUUAGAGUAUGUUUGAUAUACAUUUUGUGUGAAGGUUUUUUGGGCAAAGAAGUUAACGAUCGGGUGCCACAAGAUUGGUUUUAUUUGGCUGAGAAUUUGGAUCUCUGGAAUAGCUUCGCUUGGGGUAGCUAUCUAUGGGAUUUUACUUAUGUUGACCUUGAGGAUACGUGGAAUAAGAUACAUCAUUAUUUAUCACUUCCUGAGCGUGAUCAAACUUUAAAGUAUUCCGUCUCAGGAUUUACGGCUCCAAUUAGGGUAUAAAAAUUUUAUUAUAUUUAAAUUGUUUUAUUGUUAUAUUUUUUAUUUUAAUUUUAACUUUUAUUACUGUUAUUGUACAAAAUUGUAGAUAUGGAUAUAUGAGAUGAUUCCGGCUGUUCGUGCAUGUGGAUUUGCAUUGAGAAAAAAUAAAGACUUGCCUCGGAUGAAAAGAUGGAGCGGAACAAAAAAAUUGAAAUGGGUUGACGUGAACAAGAUUUGGUCAAAGAUGCAGGAGGGGCUACCACCAAGACAAAACAUGUUACCGGGUGAUGGUGAGAUGACAUCUUUUUAUUAUAUGUCAUUUCAAGAGUAUGUAUAUGGUGAAGGGAAAGCAGUUCCAUCCCCAGUACGGGACCAUUUUAGGAGACAAGACGAAUCUUCGUCUAGUAUGUCGUCCAGUGGUCGCUCUCAUGGUAGAGGUCGGGGCAGUGGGAAACACAAGCUAGACGAGUUGUUGAAACGGGUACAUGCACUGGAGCAGCAUGUGUUUAUGAAUCAACAAAAACCUACAGAGGUUUUUUUAUGAAGAAGUGAAUAAUGAACAAUUUUGGAACGACAUUAUUUUUGAGGAACCGACAGUGUCACAAAGAAAUUAU
Molecule: non-coding RNA, 1674 nt
Organism: Lactuca sativa (garden lettuce)
Lineage: Eukaryota; Viridiplantae; Streptophyta; Magnoliopsida; Asterales; Asteraceae
Source: RefSeq, a predicted model, not a curated record